GAUGAACGCUGGCGGCGUGCCUAAUACAUGCAAGUCGAGCGAACGGACGAGAAGCUUGCUUCUCUGAUGUUAGCGGCGGACGGGUGAGUAACACGUGGAUAACCUACCUAUAAGACUGGGAUAACUUCGGGAAACCGGAGCUAAUACCGGAUAAUAUUUUGAACCGCAUGGUUCAAAAGUGAAAGACGGUCUUGCUGUCACUUAUAGAUGGAUCCGCGCUGCAUUAGCUAGUUGGUAAGGUAACGGCUUACCAAGGCAACGAUGCAUAGCCGACCUGAGAGGGUGAUCGGCCACACUGGAACUGAGACACGGUCCAGACUCCUACGGGAGGCAGCAGUAGGGAAUCUUCCGCAAUGGGCGAAAGCCUGACGGAGCAACGCCGCGUGAGUGAUGAAGGUCUUCAGAUCGUAAAACUCUGUUAUUAGGGAAGAACAUAUGUGUAAGUAACUGUGCACAUCUUGACGGUACCUAAUCAGAAAGCCACGGCUAACUACGUG
Molecule: ribosomal RNA, 497 nt
Filed under: uncultured bacterium
Lineage: Bacteria
Description: partial 16S ribosomal RNA
Rfam family: Bacterial small subunit ribosomal RNA
Source: RNAcentral